This is a small nuclear RNA of Marmota marmota marmota (Alpine marmot), 98 nucleotides long. Lineage: Eukaryota; Metazoa; Chordata; Mammalia; Rodentia; Sciuridae. The record is from Ensembl.
AUGCUUGUUUUAGCAGCACAUACACUAAAUCUGAAUCCAUACAAAGAUUUACAUGGCUGAAGGAUGAUAUGCAAAUUUGUGAAUCAUUCCAUGUUUUU